GACGGGGGGGGCAAGUGUUCUUCGGAAUGACUGGGCGUAGAGCGCACGUAGGCGGAUUUCUAAGUCAGGGGUGAAAUCCUGGAGCUCAACUCCAGAACUGCCUUUGAUACUGGGAAUCUCGAGUCCGGGAGAGGUGAGUGGAACUGCGAGUGUAGAGGUGAAAUUCGUAGAUAUUCGCAAGAACACCAGUGGCGAAGGCGGCUCACUGGCCCGGUACUGACGCUGAGGUGCGAAAGCGUGGGGAGCAAACAGG
Molecule: ribosomal RNA, 253 nt
Filed under: uncultured bacterium
Lineage: Bacteria
Description: partial 16S ribosomal RNA
Rfam family: Bacterial small subunit ribosomal RNA
Source: RNAcentral